UCUGAAACUUUCCUUGUAUGGAAUCUUAUUUCGAGACGGCCUCGCAACCUGAUCCUACCACUGACGCUCACACCUUCCUCCAAUUCAACACCCAAGCCGAGUCCAAGUUCGAGUAUACGGUCAUCCCACGCGACCCUAUUUGUUCUUUGCCGACACCCUCCGGUGCCACCACAGCCGAGUGCCACUUAGACGCUGUUGCCUCCUCUUCUCCUUUUAGCGCUUUCAAAGGCGCUAGCCGUGGCGUAAUGAGUAAUAACAACAGUAAUAGCAACGGUAUUAGCAAUAAUGAGGCCAUGGUUGCUGCUUUAGUGACGGGGAUUAGUGGAUUAUUAUUUUAGGAGACCGUUGGCGAUGAGAAUGGCGGUUAUGAGUAUGGAAAUGGGGGGUUUUGUCGGGCAUGCUGUCGGUAUUGCCGAGUUUCAAACCCGGUUUGCGUGGUCCGCUGUAAUGUUCCUUCGUGUAGAAACUGGUUUCGUAACUCUAGAGGGAAUACAUCAGGCUCACAUAUUGUUAAUCAUCUCGUUUCACAUUUGUUGGAAAGGAGAAUAAUGGAUUUGCAACAUAAUGCAAUGGUUGUAAAACUUUGUGCAAAAUCAAAAGAAGCUGUUAGUUCUCCUAUUGAACAUUUGACCCUGUAUUAUCAGGUACGACAUUUUGACACAUUUGAGAAGAGUGAACUUCACAAGUUACAGCAAUCGAAAGAUGAACAAGGUUGGGAUAUGCCCUUUGUCAGCAAUGACAACCAAUUAAUUAAAUGGAUUUUUUCCAAUGAAAAUCUUUAACAGAUAGUGCUUACCGAGUGUAGAGGGUUCUUUUAGUAAGGUGAGGAGACGUUACAAUCUAGCAAAACGAGAUGUCAUAGAGAGAUGGUGAAGACGAAGAUCGGAGUAGGCUUUGGAAAACAAGUGCAGUAGCAGGUGGUGGUGAUGGACACAAUAAAGGGCUGAGAAAGAUAGAAAGCUACUGUGGUUCUUAUGAUUGUAGAAAGAGUUGCAGAGAGAAUUUUAGGGCGUUAAGUUUGUCAGAAGAUCAAAAAGUCCCCCUAAAUGAGACAUUCAAACCUCUCUUUUAGACCUUGGAAAAGGAAGUUAAAAGGGAAACGGUUAUGGAAAGGAAGUGGGCUUGAAUGUGCUAAAAUGGUGGAUAGUGGGAUUGGAAGUGAUUACUUGAUUGUGAGAAAAUGGAAGGUAACUUAAAUAGAUAAGGGGUAUAACGAGGGUUAAUGAGAGUUGCACUAACUUUUUAGCAACGAUUGUUCAUUAAAGAAAUAAAGAGGAAGUACUUGCAUUCCCAAAGAAAGGUUAAGAAGAGAUUCUUCACAAUUUCCACAUAUAAGCCUCCAAGCCGGACUUUCCAGGACAUUUCAAAAGCGGAAUAAUCUAGCAAUCCUACCAACCUUCUAAGGUUAUUCCCAAAAAGUCUUUCCCAAUAUGAUAUUGUUCCCAACAUAGAGUUGUUCAUGAAGGUAGUCAUUUCACAACAUGGAGUUGUUCCCAAAAGGUGCUCUUGCAGUGAAUGAUAUUUACGGAACUACUAUUUAUAGAACAGUUAGUAACAAAAAAACAAGCAUCUACACUUAGACUUUACCUCUUGCCUGAAAUUGAAAAUUGUAACUUCCCCUCAAAUUUAUCAAAUGAUACAACAGCUUGUUAUUGUGACCUUAAAUUUACAGGUGAGUAAUCAAGCAGUGAUGAGAAAAAGUACAAAGCACUGAAACGUGCAACAGAGAGGGAAAUAUCUCAAAGUGCUGAUGCCAUUUGUUGCACCUGUGUCGGAGCUGGAGAUCCUAGGUUCCACCAGGUCUCAGGCAACGGAGCCUGUGUAUAUCAUCCCUUUGGUUCUUGGAGCGAAGCAGGUAAUGGACCGACAAAUACCUGCUUGGUAGUUUAUUGAUUGGGGAGAGCAUUACAAGAUAAGGUAUUGUCGAAGUAGGCCAUUUAUCUGACACACGGAUGAAUCCCAUUAUAGAUAUAGAGCAGCAGUUACAAGUGCAAACUUUUGUACAGCUGGGGAAAAUGACUCCCACCCCUUCACCCCUUCCUCACAUGUAAUUAAUACCCUUUCAGACUUGAUACUAGAUAUAAUCGAACGAGGUGUCUAAUAAUCUAGUCCUAGAUUCAAAUUAGCACUGCCAAUGGCUCAUAUCAAUCGAGUCACUGGGCAUGUCAAUGUCGUUUUUGUAAAAAGGAAAAGCUCUGCCCACUCUUCCCUGGCCCCAAGCAGGAACGACAUUCAUAUUUCAUCAUAUGCUUGGACAUCUGGGACCCACCUACUCCACAAGGCAGCAGGCAGGGGAUUAAAAAACGGUUUGAACUGUUUUUCAAUGCCCCCCGACGUGUAAAACUAAAACACCCCGGCUUUUAUCUUAAAUUUCAGUUUUACCCUUGCAUUUCUCUGCCGUUAGGCUU
Gossypium raimondii (Peruvian cotton) is the source of this 2408-nucleotide long non-coding RNA. RefSeq lists it as uncharacterized. The record is from RefSeq and is a predicted model, not a curated record. Lineage: Eukaryota; Viridiplantae; Streptophyta; Magnoliopsida; Malvales; Malvaceae. The transcript has 5 exons.